Molecule: ribosomal RNA, 270 nt
Filed under: uncultured archaeon
Lineage: Archaea
Description: partial 16S ribosomal RNA
Rfam family: Archaeal small subunit ribosomal RNA
Source: RNAcentral
CAGUACCUCAAGUGUUCAGGAUGAUUAUUGGGCCUAAAGCAUCCGUAGCCGGCGCUGUAAGUUUUCGGUUAAAUCUGUACGCUCAACGUACAGGCUGCCGGGAAUACUGCAGCGCUAGGGAGUGGGAGAGGUAGACGGUACUCGGUAGGAAGGGGUAAAAUCCUUUGAUCUAUUGAUGACCACCUGUGGCGAAGGCGGUCUACCAGAACGCGUCCGACGGUGAGGGAUGAAAGCUGGGGGAGCAAACCGGAUUAGAUACCCGAGUAGUCC